UGCAGUCGAACGGAAAGGCCCUUCGGGGUACUCGAGUGGCGAACGGGUGAGUAACACGUGGGUGAUCUGCCUCGUACUCUGGGAUAAGCCUGGGAAACUGGGUCUAAUACCGGAUAGGACCUUCUCUCGCAUGGGGGUUGGUGGAAAGUUUUUCGGUACGAGAUGGGCCCGCGGCCUAUCAGCUUGUUGGUGGGGUAAUGGCCUACCAAGGCGACGACGGGUAGCCGGCCUGAGAGGGCGACCGGCCACACUGGGACUGAGACACGGCCCAGACUCCUACGGGAGGCAGCAGUGGGGAAUAUUGCACAAUGGGCGCAAGCCUGAUGCAGCGACGCCGCGUGAGGGAUGACGGCCUUCGGGUUGUAAACCUCUUUCACCAGGGGCGAACUAAGGACGGUACCUGGAGAAGAAGCACCGGCCAACUACGUGCCAGCAGCCGCGGUAAUACGUAGGGUGCGAGCGUUGUCCGGAAUUACUGGGCGUAAAGAGCUCGUAGGCGGUUUGUCGCGUCGUUCGUGAAAACUUGAUGCUUAACAUCAAGCGUGCGGGCGAUACGGGCAGACUUGAGUACUACAGGGGAGACUGGAAUUCCUGGUGUAGCGGUGAAAUGCGCAGAUAUCAGGAGGAACACCGGUGGCGAAGGCGGGUCUCUGGGUAGUAACUGACGCUGAGGAGCGAAAGCGUGGGUAGCGAACAGGAUUAGAUACCCUGGUAGUCCACGCCGUAAACGGUGGGUACUAGGUGUGGGUUCCUUUCACGGGAUCCGUGCCGUA
This 773-nucleotide ribosomal RNA is filed under the name Williamsia sp. SX2R4S6. RNAcentral's name for it is "bacterial SSU rRNA". It matches the Rfam family "Bacterial small subunit ribosomal RNA", at positions 56 to 850 of the family's 1533-position model. Lineage: Bacteria; Bacillati; Actinomycetota; Actinomycetes; Mycobacteriales; Nocardiaceae. The record is from RNAcentral.